This 468-nucleotide ribosomal RNA is filed under the name uncultured bacterium. Its description in RNAcentral is "partial 16S ribosomal RNA". It matches the Rfam family "Bacterial small subunit ribosomal RNA", at positions 28 to 507 of the family's 1533-position model. The record is from RNAcentral.
GAUGAACGCUGACAGAAUGCUUAACACAUGCAAGUCUACUUGAAUUUGGGUUUUUUAACUUAGAUUUGGGUGGCGGACGGGUGAGUAACGCGUAAAGAACUUGCCUCACAGUUAGGGACAACAUUUGGAAACGAAUGCUAAUACCUGAUAUUAAGAAUAUAUGGCAUCAUAUAAUUAUGAAAGCUAUAAGCGCUGUGAGAGAGCUUUGCGUCCCAUUAGCUAGUUGGAGAGGUAACGGCUCACCAAGGCGAUGAUGGGUAGCCGGCCUGAGAGGGUGAACGGCCACAAGGGGACUGAGACACGGCCCUUACUCCUACGGGAGGCAGCAGUGGGGAAUAUUGGACAAUGGACCAAGAGUCUGAUCCAGCAAUUCUGUGUGCACGAUGACGUUUUUCGGAAUGUAAAGUGCUUUCAGUUGGGAAGAAAAAAAUGACGGUACCAACAGAAGAAGUGACGGCUAAAUACGUG